Molecule: ribosomal RNA, 250 nt
Filed under: uncultured bacterium
Lineage: Bacteria
Description: partial 16S ribosomal RNA
Rfam family: Bacterial small subunit ribosomal RNA
Source: RNAcentral
CACGGGGGGAGCAAGCGUUGUUCGGAAUCACUGGGCGUAAAGGGCGUGUAGGCGGUCAGGUAAGUGGGAUGUGAAAUGCCCCGGCUCACCCGGGGAUCUGCAUUCCAAACUGCUUGGCUUGAGUAUGGGAGAGGAUGAGGGAAUUCCUGGUGUAGCGGUGAAAUGCGUAGAUAUCAGGAGGAACACCGGUGGCGAAGGCGCUCAUCUGGCCCAAUACUGACGCUGAGGCGCGAAAGCUAGGGGAGCAAAC